Molecule: ribosomal RNA, 443 nt
Filed under: uncultured bacterium
Lineage: Bacteria
Description: partial 16S ribosomal RNA
Rfam family: Bacterial small subunit ribosomal RNA
Source: RNAcentral
CCUACGGGGGGCAGCAGUGGGGAAUAUUGGUCAAUGGAGGCAACCCUGAACCAGCAACGCCGCGUGAAUGAUGAAGGUUUUCGGAUUGUAAAGUUCUUUUCUCAGGGAAGAAGAAAGUGACGGUACCUUAGGAAUAAGCCUCGGCUAACUACGUGCCAGCAGCCGCGGUAAUACGUAGGAGGCAAGCGUUAUCCGGAAUGACUGGGCGUAAAGGGUGCGUAGGUGGUUGGACAAGUAGGUAGCGUAACCCCGAGGCUCAACCUCGGCACUACUACCAAAACUGUUGGACUUGAGUGCAGGAGGGGCAAUUGGAAUUCCUAGUGUAGCGGUGGAAUGCGCAGAUAUUAGGAGGAACACCAGUGGCGAAGGCGAAUUGCUGGACUGUAACUGACACUGAGGCACGAAAGCGUGGGGAGCAAACAGGAUUAGAUACCCCUGUAGUC